Molecule: ribosomal RNA, 967 nt
Filed under: Acremoniella cedrelae
Lineage: Eukaryota; Fungi; Ascomycota; Sordariomycetes; Microascales
Description: LSU rRNA
Rfam family: Eukaryotic large subunit ribosomal RNA
Source: RNAcentral
AGUACCCGCUGAACUUAGCAUAUCAAUAAGCGGAGGAAAAGAUACAACAGGGAUUGCCCUAGUAACGGCGAGUGAGCGGCAACAGCUCAAAUUUGAAAUCCGGGCCCCGGCCCGAGUUGUAAUUUGGAGAGGACGCCUUCUGGCGAGGCCCCUUUCCGAGUCCACUGGAACGUGGCGCCACAGAGGGUGACAGCCCCGUACGGUCGGGCGCCGAGCCUGUGCGAAGCUCCUUCGACGAGUCGAGUAGUUUGGGAUUGCUGCUCUAAAUGGGAGGUACAUUCCUUCUAAGGCUAAAUAUAGGCCAGAGACCGAUAGCGCACAAGUAGAGUGAUCGAAAGAUGAAAAGCACUUUGGAAAGAGGGUCAAACAGCACGUGAAAUUGUUGAAAGGGAAGCGCUCGUGGCUAGACGUGCGGCAGGGCGAUCGCCCGGCGUUCUCGCCGGCGCACUCGCCCCCGCCGCAGGCCAGCGUCGGUUCCCGCCGGGGGGAGAAAGGCCCCGGGAACGUGGCUCCUCCGGGAGCGUUAUAGCCCGGGGCGUAAUGCCCCCGCGGGGACCGAGGUCCGCGCCCUGCAAGGACGCUGGCGUAAUAGCCACCGGCGGCCCGUCUUGAAACACGGACCAAGGGAGUCAAGGUCUUUGCGCGAGUGGUUUCGGGUGUAAAACCCGCGCGCGUAAUGAAAGUGAACGCAGGUGGGAGAGCCUUCGGCGCACCAACCCGACCGAUCCUGAUGUUCUCGGAUUGGGAUUUGAGUAGGAAGCGUAGGGGCCUUUUGGGACCCGAAAGAUGGUGAACUAUACUUUGGAUAGGGUGAAGCUCAGAGGAAACUCUGGUGGAGGCUCGCAGCGGUUCUGACGUGCUGCAAAAUCGAUCGUCAAAUCUUGAAGUAUGGGGGGUCGAAAAGAUCUAAUUCGAACUCAUUCUAGUUAGUCUGGAUUACUCGGCCCGAAAGUUUCCCCUCUCAGGG